Molecule: ribosomal RNA, 113 nt
Filed under: uncultured archaeon
Lineage: Archaea
Description: partial 16S ribosomal RNA
Rfam family: Archaeal small subunit ribosomal RNA
Source: RNAcentral
CGAAAGUGUGAUAAGGGAAUCCUAAGUGCUCAUGCUUUGCAUGGGCUUUUGCCAAGAGUAAAUAUCUUGGUGAAUAAGUGGUGGGAAAGACAGGUGCCAGCAGCCGCGGUAAA